RNAcentral lists this transfer RNA (76 nucleotides) under Rugosimonospora africana. Its description in RNAcentral is "tRNA-Arg". It matches the Rfam family "tRNA". From Rfam's summary of the family: Transfer RNA (tRNA) molecules are approximately 80 nucleotides in length. Their secondary structure includes four short double-helical elements and three loops (D, anti-codon, and T loops). Lineage: Bacteria; Bacillati; Actinomycetota; Actinomycetes; Micromonosporales; Micromonosporaceae. The record is from RNAcentral.
GGCCUUGUAGCUCAAUGGAUAGAGCGACGGUUUACGAAGCCGUGUCAGUUGGAGGUUCGAAUCCUCCCGGGGCCGC